RNAcentral lists this non-coding RNA (25 nucleotides) under Mus musculus (house mouse). Lineage: Eukaryota; Metazoa; Chordata; Mammalia; Rodentia; Muridae. The record is from RNAcentral.
UGAUGGAGGCAUAGGUAAACCUGGG